AUGCAACAAAUUAUUGAUUUUUGGAUACUUCUACGAGAUUUCCAGUUUGAUGAGCAUGCGGAGGAUGACAUAGUUUGGAAGCACACGGAAAAUGGGCUAUACUUGGCGGCUUCCGCUUAUUUGUCGCAAUACAUGGGAAAUUUCUACUUGCCUAUGGAGCAGAUGGUUUGGAAGGCUUGUGCCCCUCCCAAGGUCAAGCUUUUUGCUUGGUUGGCUAUUCAAGAUAGGAUUCGGACUGUCGAUCAGUUGGUCAAGCGAGGUUAG
RNAcentral lists this ribosomal RNA (264 nucleotides) under Triticum aestivum (bread wheat). RNAcentral describes it as "partial small subunit ribosomal RNA". Lineage: Eukaryota; Viridiplantae; Streptophyta; Magnoliopsida; Poales; Poaceae. The record is from RNAcentral.